UAGUCCACGCCGUAAACGAUGAAUACUAGGUGCAGCGGGUAUCGACCCCUGCUGUGCCGUAGCUAACGCGUUAAGUAUUCCGCCUGGGGAGUACGGCCGCAAGGCUAAAACUCAAAGAAAUUGACGGGGGCCCGCACAAGCGGUGGAGCAUGUGGUUUAAUUCGAUGCAACGCGCAGAACCUUACCUGGGCUUGAAAUCCCACGCCAAUCCUGGAGACAGGACUUUUCUUCUUUGAAGAACGUGGUGACAGGUGCUGCAUGGCUGUCGUCAGCUCGUGUCGUGAGAUGUUGGGUUAAGUCCCGUAACGAGCGCAACCCUUGUUGUUAGUUGCCAUCAUUAAGUUGGGCACUCUAGCGAGACUGCCGGUGUCAAACCGGAGGAAGGUGGGGAUGACGUCAAGUCCUCAUGGCCCUUAUGUCCAGGGCUACACACGUGCUACAAUGGUCGGUACAAAGAGCAGCCAACUAGUGAUAGUGAGCAAAUCUCAAAAACCGGUCUCAGUACGG
This 507-nucleotide ribosomal RNA is filed under the name uncultured bacterium. Its description in RNAcentral is "bacterial SSU rRNA". It matches the Rfam family "Bacterial small subunit ribosomal RNA", at positions 791 to 1296 of the family's 1533-position model. The record is from RNAcentral.